Molecule: ribosomal RNA, 391 nt
Filed under: uncultured bacterium
Lineage: Bacteria
Description: bacterial SSU rRNA
Rfam family: Bacterial small subunit ribosomal RNA
Source: RNAcentral
GACGAACGCUGGCGGCGUGCUUAACACAUGCAAGUCGAGCGGUAAGGCCCUUUCGGGGGUACGACGAGCGGCGAACGGGUGAGUAACACAUGGGUGACCUGCCCUCAGCUCUGGGAUAAGCCUGGGAAACCGGGGUCUAAUACUGGAUAUGACUCCAUGACGCAUGUUGUGGGGUGGAAAGCCUUGUGCGGCUGAGGAUGGGCCCGCGGCCUAUCAGCUUGUUGGUGGGGUGGAUGGCCUACCAAGGCGACGACGGGUAGCCGGCCUGAGAGGGCGACCGGCCACACUGGGACUGAGACACGGCCCAGACUCCUACGGGAGGCAGCAGUGGGGAAUCUUGCGCAAUGGGCGAAAGCCUGACGCAGCGACGCCGCGUGAGGGAUGACGGCCU